RNAcentral lists this long non-coding RNA (339 nucleotides) under Mytilus galloprovincialis (Mediterranean mussel). The record is from RNAcentral. Lineage: Eukaryota; Metazoa; Mollusca; Bivalvia; Mytilida; Mytilidae.
GGUCACCGGCCAUCCAAGAGAUUUUUUGACCUCUGAAUAUGAGUGCAAAUAGGCUAAAUAUAGGGAAAACAGGCAUAAAAUAUCUUUGAUUGAAUUUUCAGAGCAAAAUAAAUGACAGAAGUUGCUCAUUAUUUCAUACUGUAAAGUUUGAUGUCUUUAUUUUAUAAAAUUGAAAUAAAAUUUGGGGGUAACCGGCCAUCCAAGAGAUUUUUUGACCUCUGAAAAUGAGUGCAAAUAGGCUAAAUAUAAGGAAAACAGGCAUAAAAUAUCUUUUAUUGAAUUUUCAGAGCAAAAUAAAUGACAGACGUUGCUCAUUUUUUCAUACUGUAAAGCUUGAUG